RNAcentral lists this ribosomal RNA (404 nucleotides) under Verrucomicrobiota bacterium. RNAcentral's name for it is "Verrucomicrobia bacterium partial 16S ribosomal RNA". It matches the Rfam family "Bacterial small subunit ribosomal RNA", at positions 355 to 776 of the family's 1533-position model. Lineage: Bacteria; Pseudomonadati; Verrucomicrobiota. The record is from RNAcentral.
UGGGGAAUAUUGCACAAUGGGCGCAAGCCUGAUGCAGCAACGCCGCGUGAACGAUGAAGGUCUUCGGAUCGUAAAGUUCUGUUGCAGGGGAAGAUAAUGACGGUACCCUGUGAGGAAGCCCCGGCUAACUACGUGCCAGCAGCCGCGGUAAUACGGAAGGUCCGGGCGUUAUCCGGAUUUAUUGGGUUUAAAGGGAGCGUAGGCUGUCUAUUAAGCGUGUUGUGAAAUUUACCGGCUCAACCGGUGGCUUGCAGCGCGAACUGGUCGACUUGAGUAUGCAGGAAGUAGGCGGAAUUCAUGGUGUAGCGGUGAAAUGCUUAGAUAUCAUGACGAACUCCGAUUGCGCAGGCAGCUUACUGUAGCAUAACUGACGCUGAUGCUCGAAAGUGCGGGUAUCAAACAGG